Molecule: ribosomal RNA, 608 nt
Filed under: uncultured bacterium
Lineage: Bacteria
Description: bacterial SSU rRNA
Rfam family: Bacterial small subunit ribosomal RNA
Source: RNAcentral
CCUUGAGACCGGCGCACGGGUGCGUAACGCGUAUGCAACCUACCUUCAUCAGGGGGAUAGCCCGAAGAAAUUCGGAUUAACACCGCAUAAAAUCACAGAACGGCAUUGUUCAAUGAUCAAACAUUCAUGGGAUGAAGAUGGGCAUGCGUGUCAUUAGCUUGUUGGCGGGGUAACGGCCCACCAAGGCGACGAUGACUAGGGGAUCUGAGAGGAUGGCCCCCCACACUGGUACUGAGACACGGACCAGACUCCUACGGGAGGCAGCAGUAAGGAAUAUUGGUCAAUGGAGGCAACUCUGAACCAGCCAUGCCGCGUGCAGGAAGACUGCCCUAUGGGUUGUAAACUGCUUUUAUCCGGGAAUAAACCUCUCUACGUGUAGGGAGCUGAAUGUACCGGAAGAAUAAGGAUCGGCUAACUCCGUGCCAGCAGCCGCGGUAAUACGGAGGAUCCAAGCGUUAUCCGGAUUUAUUGGGUUUAAAGGGUGCGUAGGCGGCCUGUUAAGUCAGGGGUGAAAGACGGUGGCUCAACCAUCGCAGUGCCCUUGAUACUGAUGGGCUUGAAUGGACUAGAGGUGGGCGGAAUGAGACAAGUAGCGGUGAAAUGCAUAG